ACCCUCCGCAUGUAAAGCCACCUUUCCACCCCAAACCACCGCAUCACAAGCCACCCCAUGUCAAACCACCGCACAAGCCCCCGUAUGUUCCUAAACCACCUUACACACCAAGGCCUAAACCGCCUUACACGCCAAAACCACCUUAUACGCCAACCCCUAAGCCACCAUAUUUCCCCAAACCACCUUACACACCAAGGCCUAAGCCACCGUAUGCGCCAAAACCACCUUAUACGCCAACCCCUAAGCCACCCUAUUUCCCCAAACCACCUUACACACCAAGUCCCAAAACCACCUUACACCCCAACUCCUAAGCCACCGUAUGUCCCUAAACCACCGUAUGUACCAUCACCACCUUAUACCCCUCGCCCUAGACCACCGUAUGUACCAUCGCCACCUUAUACCCCUAGUCCUAAACCACCGUAUGUGCCAUCACCACCUUAUACCCCCAGCCCUACCCCACCAUAUGUACCAUCACCACCGUAUACCCCAAGCCCUACCCCGCCAUAUGUACCAUCACCACCGUAUACCCCAAGCCCUAGCCCACCACCACCACCAAGUGGAACACCGUGUCCUCCGCCGCCGCCACCAACUUGUCCCAUUGAUACUCUCAAGCUUGGUGCAUGCGUCGACGUGUUGGGUGGU
Molecule: long non-coding RNA, 642 nt
Filed under: Citrus sinensis (sweet orange)
Lineage: Eukaryota; Viridiplantae; Streptophyta; Magnoliopsida; Sapindales; Rutaceae
Description: long non-coding RNA (CSIN_LNC002619)
Source: RNAcentral